This 460-nucleotide ribosomal RNA is filed under the name uncultured bacterium. RNAcentral's name for it is "partial 16S ribosomal RNA". It matches the Rfam family "Bacterial small subunit ribosomal RNA", at positions 338 to 795 of the family's 1533-position model. The record is from RNAcentral.
CCUACGGGUGGCAGCAGUGAGGAAUAUUGGUCAAUGGGCGCGAGCCUGAACCAGCCAAGUAGCGUGAAGGAUGACUGCCCUACGGGUUGUAAACUUCUUUUAUAAAGGAAUAAAGUGAGGCACGUGUGCCUUUUUGUAUGUACUUUAUGAAUAAGGAUCGGCUAACUCCGUGCCAUCAGCCGCGGUAAUACGGAGGAUCCGAGCGUUAUCCGGAUUUAUUGGGUUUAAAGGGAGAGUAGAUGGGUUUUUAAGUCAGUUGUGAAAGUUUGAGGCUCAACCGUAAAAUUGCAAUUGAUACUGGCAGUCUUGAGUACAGUUGAGGUAGGCGGAAUUCGUGGUGUAGCGGUGAAAUGCUUAGAUAUCACGAAGAACUCCGAUUGCGAAGGCAGCUUACUAAACUGCCACUGACAUUGAUGCUCGAAAGUGUGGGUAUCAAACAGGAUUAGAUACCCUUGUAGUC